This 443-nucleotide ribosomal RNA is filed under the name uncultured bacterium. RNAcentral describes it as "partial 16S ribosomal RNA". It matches the Rfam family "Bacterial small subunit ribosomal RNA", at positions 338 to 795 of the family's 1533-position model. The record is from RNAcentral.
CCUACGGGUGGCAGCAGUGGGGAAUAUUGGGCAAUGGGCGCAAGCCUGACCCAGCAACGCCGCGUGAAGGAAGAAGGCUCUCGGGUUGUAAACUUCUUUUCUCAGGGACGAAGCAAGUGACGGUACCUGAGGAAUAAGCCACGGCUAACUACGGGCCAGCAGCCGCGGUAAUACGGAGGUGGCAAGCGUUAUCCGGAUGUACUGGGUGUAAAGGGCGUGUAGGCGGGGCUGCAAGUCAGAUGUGAAAGCCACGGGCUCAACCUGUGGCCUGCAUUUGGAACUGUAGUGCUUGAGUGCAGGAGGGGCAGACGGAAUUCCUGGUGUAGCGGUGAAAUGCGUAGAUAUUAGGAGGAACACCAGUGGCGAAGGCGGUCUGCUGGACAGCAACUGACGCUGAGGCGCGAAAGCGUGGGGAGCAAACAGGAUUAGAUACCCUGGUAGUC